CCAUACGUAAGAUUUCCAACCCCCAUUUAUAUAAUAAAUAAUUGAGUAAAACCCUGAAACCCUAUUUUGUCUGUUUUGACCUUUUGAAAUAUUUCAAAGGAAAUAUUCUUAAUAAAUUCCUAGGAAUUCUAGUGACCUCCCUAAGCCAUAUUUGGUGCCCAUAUAAAGUUUCACCUUGAUCCAAGGUGGUUAGGGUCACCAAAUAAUUCCAAAACACUUUCCGUCCAGUAUGAAGUUAGAGCAACUCUACAUAGCAAAGUUUAUCCAAUGGAGCUGAAACUUUGCAGGAGUGCCUAAUACCUCAAAUGUGAACUCUCUGCCAAAAAUGGGAUUUACGGGACUAGAUUUGCCCACACUCCCUUUGGAAGGGACAGUCCUGGCCAUUUAGGAGUAAUUUCAAGUUUACAUUGCUAAACUUGUUCAAUGGAGCCCAAACUUGGUGUAGCCUCAUGUUUUUGCACCAAAUCUAGUCGUGUUAAGUUUCACAGCCAGUGGUGGAUUGUAACAACCCCAAACCACUGUCGAGCACCUUCUGACAAUAUGGCAAAACCCCUCUUAACCCCAGCUACACCCAUUCCCUUUCUCUCAAACUCCUAGAUUAGGUGGCCAGCAUCAAUGCCCAACUCCAGUCAAGUGGCUCUUCUCUGGUUCUAAGUAGAAAAGCCCAAAAUCCCAAUCUAAGCUUCAACCCAGGGCUGACAGCAUCUGUUUUCCACCCCUCUUUUGACUAGCAGAUGUUCCCACGGGAUUCAAAUGGCUAGGCAUCUCCAAGCAAGGGCCCAGGACACGCCAGACGCGUCCAAGGCGCCCCAAAGCGCGCCAGCAUGCCGUGGCAUGCCAAAGCUGCGCUCUGGGCGCGCUACAGGAAGCAACCGAGGUGCGGGCGACCUCCCACGGCCAGUUCCAGCCUGCCCACGGUGUCUCUCCUCUCCCCCGACAGCUCCACUGCAUCAGGCAGCCCCCAGGGCCCCUCUUUCCCGCGUUGAGAGCCGGUGCGACGCGUGCCCGCACACCAGGUUCGGCCAGAGGAGCACAGCCACGCAGGCACGCCACUCCUCACUGCUCCCUCUCUCGCAGUGAGCUUGGCGGUCCAAAACCACAUCCUGAGACCGUGGUUUCGACCCCAGCCUCUCUCUGCACCCCCCUGCACGCCACGGUGAAACCACCGAAGCUUCCCGCCCGGUGCACCGUCGCGGGCCUAUAUAUAGGCCACCCCCUCGCUCCAGCACCCCUCACUCCACUCCACCUAGACCCCAAUCGUCUCCCUAGCCACCCCAUCAAGCAAGAAGAGCCCCGGUGCUCGAGGUCGACCCAGGCCCCUCCGCCUUGGAGCUCCUGUCGAUCUCCGGCUACACGGCGGUUCUCGCAUCCCUCUACCCUCCUACGCACUCCCCGUGACCCCAGGAACCUUUCCCCUCACUUCCCCGAUCGAUUUCGUGCCCGUAGCCACCAUCCCCACCGUCGACCGAAACCACUCCGCCGCGGCCACCUCGUCGCCGGUGAACCAGAACCCCCUCGUCGUCGACUCGACCACAAGCAGGUAGGCGACGACAAGCCGGACCCAUUCCCGCCAUUGUUAGGGCCGGAGGACGUCGGUAGCCACGUCGGCGGGCCUCCCUUCCCCUCUGUCCAGAGGUGGAAGACGACCCCGACAAGUGUGCCCCACCUUUCGGUGGCCCAUCCACCCCUCCCUCGCCUCUCACAGCCGCUGACCGCAGGGGCCCGCGCGCCUGGGCAGGCUGGCUGGCCAUCUGGACCGGCCCAGCCCCAGGCCGAGCCAGGCCAGUUUUUAAAGUGAAUUUGUGAUCUGUUUUUGAGUGAGCUACUUAUUGCUUUUUAUUUAAUACGACGAUAGAAACCACUCUUGACGAAGGAGUUGGACUUGAAGACCCCGAAGACCCCAGAUACUUAGCUGAUCAAGGCAAUCAGCCCUUUGGUCAUGUUUGAGCAUAUGCUAUAUUGCAUGCUAGUGUAGCAAAUAUUUCUGUUGCAUGUGAUCAUAAGUAUCGGUAAAUCAUUGAAGUGAUGUUACCGAUGGCUCCUCCGGAGCACUUGCAUUUUGAACAUGAUCCUACCACCUAUGAGGGUCAUGCUAAUAUCAUGUUAACAAGUAGAGCUAAGCAUACUAGCAUGAGCAUGAUGAUGGUAUAAAAUCAAAGGUUUAUGAAAACCCGUCGGGUACCACUAAUGCCCGAGGGUGAUGAUGAGUUAGGUGGCCACUUUUGGUGAAGUGGUGCACCGGGUAUUUUGUGUGUGUAUGGUUUCGGAAAUGGGAAUAGAUUUAUGAUGUGUCGACCGUCCCAACCUUACAUGUACAACCACGUUACCCCUUUAUGGGACGGGGCUUUGUUGAUUACUCUGGUCGAUGCUAGCAAAGAACCACAUUACUAGUGACGGGAGUGAUGUCUGGUCACUCUCGUGACGGGGUCGUGCCAGGUAGGGCGACUAUGCCGUUUUUACGUGUUCCGGGCACACCGUUGGUCCCCGCAUGGAUGAUACUGUCCAGAGUCGGUGCUCGUAAGACGUACAUCAUGUGGGUUGGGUACCAAUCGAGUGGACCUCUUUGUCUAGUAUCGUCAGGGGAAAGGCAUUGAUCGGGUACUUACCUCAGGUAUGCUAUAUACCGCGAGUCGUGGAUGACACAGAAGUUUCCCGGAUCUCGUGGGUACACCGUACAACCUCUGCAGAGUGUAAAACUAUUCGAAUAGCCGUGUCCAUGGUCAAGGACAGUUGGGUAAUCCUGCUUAAAUUACGUCCAGUCAUUUCCGCAUAAACCAAGUGUGUGUGUGUUUAAUGGUGUAUCUGAGAAAGAGUUGAUAUGACCAAGUUUGGUGACUUGGCAUAUCGGGUGAACCUGGAGUGUUCAGCGCUUAACAGAUAUAUUGAUAUAUGUAACCUGUUCUUCUAAAUACCAUCUAGCUUAUGAUACAUAUCCAUGAACAUGUUUAAUUACAGUUAAGCUGUAAUCCACCAAAACUGCAUAGUACUUGUUAAUCUACCAAUGGCAUUGUUCAUAUCAUGGGUUGUUUGCGAGUACAUUCAAAGUACUCAUUGGCUUGCCACUGGUUAUAUUAUUGACCAGACAUGGAAGGACGGAGUUUGGAGAAGAGUACGUCUUUGGAGACGGCCCUUCGAACUAGGACGCUUCUCAGUCAGAAUGCCUAUUGGUGUAGGCUGAUGGCAUGAGCACCCGCUUAGCCCUAAGAUUUCCGCUACUAGUUGUAUCAGUGUGAUUUGGCCUUAUAGGCCCUGUCUUGUGAACUUGACCAUUCGGUCAUGUGUUGUAAUAAUUCGGUACUUGGAUGUAACUCUUAAUAUUCAGUAUCUGUGUGUUCGGUGAGCAUUGAUCUCUGGGAUCACUGAGCACGUUCAUUCGGCGAUCUCGACUCAAAAGUCGGGGUCCCCACAGAGCUGGUAUCAGAGCCAUCCUGACUGUAGGAAGUCUUUGGCAGCAUGGACGAUAGCCGAGAUGAUUAGUGCACUUAGCCCUUACACUUGAGAUUUUCUGCACCCACCAAAAAUUUCUAACCCUCUCCUACAACCUUGUAGAUGGCCGCCGUACCUGAGAUGCUUCUGGAAACGGGUGUUCCCCUACUUUUGGGAGAUAGCCUCGAGAAGUGUCAAGUACGCCGCACGCCCAUCUUCCUCUACCACGAUCACUGGGUCAACGCCGACAGGAAUAUCACAUGGAUGUGAUAGUGAAGGCUAACGACUCCCCAACUAGUUGGUUCUUUCAAGGACCACAGAUGGAGAAUCUGAUGUUGGCAGUUGAGACGGCCGCACGAGAGGCGCUCGUGCGUCUCCGCGACAUCCUUCUCGAGAUGGCUAACGAGCCAGCAACUCGUCACCUACCUUUCAUUAAGGACGGGAUUGACGGGAGUUGGACACUCAACCCAUCUACAGAGGACGGGACGCCACUAAGGUUUCAGACCUACUUCAGCCUCUCCUCCGACACCUUGACUCACCUUUUGAUCAAGGAGUCGAUGACGCUUCGCCAAGAACUGCAUCAAGUCAAGGACCUACUUCGCCUGGAGAAGAUGCAGACCCGCAAGGUCAAGAAGGAAGGAGCACCCGGAGGGCAAUCAGCCAUUGCCUUUUGAGGAGGAUUACCACCGCUCCAGGCCACUCCUAUUCAGAGUCGCCGUCUGACCGCGGAAGAGUACACUGAGCUCCUCACUGCUUCGCCGACUAGAGACGCCGUGAUGGACCCCUUCCAUCUCCCACACCUCUGAAGGAGGAAAGUACCGAUGAAGAUGAAGACGAAGACCCUGCAGAACCUGCCUACUAGACCGAGCAGUCCGCCGCUUAGGAGUACGACUUAGGCAAUUAGGAGUCUUCCCCAAGCGUAGUGAGUACAUGUACCGGUUCAUGUGAACCAUGAGUGUUGUGUGAGCAUGUAUGAUGCAAGCCGCAUUUCUUCCUUAGGCAGCUUGUAAGAGACUACAUCACUUGUUUUAAAUUUAAUGUAUUAGCUUUUCCCAAAAACCUUUGUUUAAAAAUCUCACACUAGCACGACACCAAACCCCCCUUAUUAGAGCAUCAUCCCUUAUGAUUCCCGGCCAUUUCGGCAUAUUGACCUGUCUACUCCCCUGACAGGAUGGUGAUUGCAACUGGCACCAGCACCUUCGGCAACCCCGACUCUGCCACUUCUGGCCAGCAGCAGGGAACCGAAGGGGACGCUCAAGCUGGAGAUCACCACGAGCAGCAGCAAGGCGAUAUUCCUCCGCCACCGCCUUCUCCGAAAAGCUCGAUUGUGGCUCAGUUCCUCCAAGCUCUCCAGAGCAACGUCAAGCCAAUAAUGCCGCCAUCCAACAGUUGGCUCAAGUCUUGGUUAACAAUCCGCCGCAGAACAGAAAUGGCAACGGGCGCUCUACUCUAUCUGAGUUUAUGCGGACUACGCCUCCUAUAUUCACGGAGACGACUGAACCAUUGGAUGCCGAUGACUGGAUCCGCACUACCGAAGACCUCCUCGGCUGGUCAAGUGCACCGAUGAUCGCGAGAAAGUCCUUUAUGCUUCUCACUGUCUCGGAGGCACGGCCAGAGCUUGGUGGGACGGGUUCCAGAUCAUGCGAGAAGGGCAAGUUAUCACUUAGGCAAUAUUCAAGGAAGGAUUCCGCACUGCUCACAUUCCUCCCGGAAUGAUGACCAUUAAGAAGCGGGAAUUCCGAGCCUUAAGGCAAGGCAGUGGAACCGUCAAGGAGUAUCUGCAGAAGUUUAACCUCCUGUCGAGAUAUGCACCAGAAGACGUCAACACUGAGGCCGCAAAAGUGGAACGCUUUAUGGAAGGACUGCAGCAGUCACUCCAGUAUCAACUAGUUGUUUGUGAAUGUCGUACCUUCUGCGACCCGGUUAACAAGGCCCUCAUGUUGGAGGAUAAGCGUCGUGCAAUGGACGACACUCGUAAGCGCAAGCUGAUGGGUAGUGGAGGACCCAGUAACCCGAAACCACGCCCAUGGCAGUCAGCUCCAGCAAGACCCAGUUAUCAGCAGCAGCAAUAUAAGGCUCCAACAUUCCGCCGGAACUACCAGCCUCAGCAACAAGUCAACACCAAGCCAGCAUUCAACCCACCGAACAACAAUGGAGUCAAGACCAACAUCCCGGGACAAGUUACCUGUUUUGGAUGUGGACAAGCUGGGCACUAUUCCAGGCAGUGCCCCAACAAGAAGCCCGACGCACCGCGCCCCAAUGUGCCAAAUCAAGGUCAAGGAGCACCAGGUAGAAACCAAGGUCCCCGCAAUCAGCAGUAUCACAGCAGGGGACGUAUUAAUCACAUCUCCGCAGAAGAAGCAGGGGAAGACCCGGACUGCAUUCUGGGUACGUUCCUCGUCACAUUCUGGGUACGUUCCUCGUCAACUCCGCCCCAGCAACAGUAUUAUUUGAUUGUGGUGCUUCACAUUCUUUUGUUACUCAGAAGUUUGCGGAAAAAUGUGGUUUGAGGCCUUCCCUACUUAAUGGGCAAAUGGCAGUACAUACCCCAGGAGCAGUGCUAAGGAUCAACCUAGGAUGUAGAGGAGUCGGGAUCAAUAUUAAUGGGAUAAGCUUCUCAGCAGAUCUCAUUGUCAUUAAGUCGCAAGGCUUAGAGGUAAUCCUUGGAAUGGAUUGGUUGGCCAAACACCAGAGCAUCUUGGACUAUGCCAACAGGACUAUUACCAUGACAAGCAACCAAGGGGUCAAAGUCAAGUAUGUCCCUGAGCCUAUAUCCACUCGAGUCCCGCAGGUGAAUAGCCUAUCGGGAGAAGAGCUGGACCGAGUGUCGAUAGUCUGUGAAUACUCGGACGUCUUUCCUGAUGAGCUACCAGGGAUGCCUCCCGACCGAGACAUCGAGUUCAUCAUUGAGCUCAUGCCCGGGUCGAGGCCUAUCUAUAAGAACCUUAUAGGCUGGGAUCCGAAGAGCUAGCAGAGCUGAAGAAGCAGCUGGAUGAGCAACUCAGGAAGGGAUUCAUUCGUCUGAGUGCAUCACCUUGGGGAUCACCUGUUCUGUUCGUGUCUAAGAAGGAUGGGACUAUCAGACUCUGCGUCGGUUACCGUUCUCUCAAUGAAGUCACGAUCAAGAACAAGUACCCACUCCCCAAGAUUGAAGACUUGUUUGACCAGUUAAAUGGAGCCAAGGUAUUUUCCAAGAUCGGUCUCUGAUCUGGAUAUUACCAACUGAAGAUCCGACAUGAAGACAUACCCAAGACUGGAUUAACGACCCGGUACGGUCUAUACGAGUGCACAGUCAUGUCCUUUGGAUUGACGAAUGCCCCAGCAUACUUCAUGUACCUCAUGAACAAGGUCUUCAUGGAAUACCUGGACAAGUUUGUCGUCGUAUUUACCGAUGACAUAUUAAUCUUCUCCAAAUCCGAAGAAGAGCAUGAGCAACACUUGAGGUUAGUGUUGGAGAAGCUUUGAGAGCACCAACUUUAUGCCAAGUUCAGCAAAUGCCAAUUCUGGCUGAACGAAGUUGGAUUCUUGGGUCAUACCAUGACGGCAAGCGGAUUGGCGGUCGAUCCUUCCAAGAUUACUACAGUAACCAACUGGGAGUCGCCAAUCAAUGUGAAGGAAGUCAGGAGCUUCCUCGGACUCGCGGGAUAUUACCGCAAGUUCGUAGAAGGAUUCUCCCGCAUCGCUCGACCCAUGACUCAGCUCUUGAAGAAAGGCAAGAAGUUCGAAUGGACGCCGGAGUGUGAAACAAGCUUCCAGGAGUUGAAGAAGAGAUUGCCUACCGCCCCGGUAUUGGCUACUCCAGAUAUCAGCAAGGAGUUUGUGAUAUAUUGUGAUGCCUCCAGAAUCGGGCUCGGUGGAGUCCUAAUGCAAGACGGAAGGGUCGUGGCAUAUUUGUCACGGCAACUGCGCCCGCAUGAGGAGAACUAUGUCACCCAUGAUCUCGAGUUGGCAGCAGUAGUGCAUGCCCUGAAGACAUGAAAUAUACACUGACCACAAGAGUCUGAAGUAUAUCUUUACUCAAAGGGAAUUGGAUAUGAGGCAGCGAAGAUGGUUGGAGUUAAUCAAAGACUACGACCUCAGCAUUCAAUACCACCCCGGUAAGGCCAAUGUGGUGGGUGAUGCCUUAAGCCGGAAAGCCAACACCUUGAAUGCUAUGCUCAACGAAAGGCUACCCGCCUUAUAUGAAGAGAUGGAGAGCUUCGGGUUGGAGCUAGUUGAACCAGGAUUCCUAACCAACCUAGAAGUCAAACCAGGAUUCCUAACCAACCUAGAAGUCAAACCAACGCUGGCAGACGACAUCAAGGAGGCCCGGAAGGGGCACAAGAGCAUUGAAGGCAUCAAGAAGAAGAUCCAGGAAGGCAAGGCCCCAGAAUUCUCGGUGGAUGAGCAAGGAGUAGUGUGGUUUGGCAAACGUUUAUGCGUACCCAACAAGGCGAAACUCAAGGAUCUGAUCCUGCAGGAAGCCCAUGACACACCCUACUCUAUUCACCCAGGAGGCACCAAGAUGUAUCAAGACCUCCGAGAAAAAUUCUAGUGGCACGGCAUGAAGAGGGAAAUAGCGUCCUAUGUUGCCAAGUGCGACGUGUGCCAGCGAGUCAAAGCUGAACAUCAACGACCUGCUGGACUGCUACAACCUCUCCAGGUGCCCGAAUGGAAGUGGGACCGAGUCGGCAUGGACUUCGUCACCGGCUUACCCAGGUCCAGCAGAGGCCAUGACUCUAUAUGGGUCAUCGUCGACCACCUGACCAAAAUGUCUCACUUCAUUCCCGUCAGUACCACCUAUGGGGGCGACAAGCUGGCUAGCCUCUACAUUGAGCGUAUUGUGAGCCUUCAUGGAGUCCCCAAAGAGAUCAUAUCUGACUGAGGCACGCAGUUCACCUCAAGAUUCUGAAAGAAGUUCCAAGAAGCCCUCGGAACCAAGCUCUCUUUCAGCACCGCUUUCCACCCGCAGACGAGCGGACAGACGGAGAGAGUAAACCAGAUACUCGAAGAUAUGCUCCGCACUUGUCUUGGCACAUGGUGCCAAAUGGGAAGACUGUCUGCCGUUCGCUGAGUUCUCAUACAACAACAGCUACCAAUCCUGUCUCCAGAUGGCCCCAUUUGUAAUGUUGUACGGACGAAAGUGUCGCACCCCGCUCAACUGGUCCGAUUUUCGGGCCGGAAGUUCUGCAAGAGGCAGAAGAUAAGGUGGAGCUUGUCCGAGAUAGCUUGAAGGCAGCCAAGUCGUGACAAAAGAGCUAUGCGGAUUCUCACCGCAGAGAAUUGGAGUUCAACCUUAAAGACCAGGUGUACCUCCACGUCACACCUCUCAAGGGAACCAAGCGUUUCCACGUCAAGGGGAAACUUGCUCCAAGGUUCAUUGGACCAUUUAAGAUCACGGCAAGGCGUGGAGAAGUUGCUUACCAGUUGGAGCUACCUCCGGAACUUUCGGGUGUGCACAACGUCUUCCACGUGUUACAACUCCGGAAGUGUCUGCAAGCGCCAAACCGUCCAGAUCUUUAUAAGGACAUUGACCAUCAGGCCAACGACCUUCAGCCAGAUCUCACUUAUCGUGAGAGGCCGAUCCGCAUCCUGGAUGAAGCAGAGCGUUGCACCAGAAGUCGCACCAUCAAGUAUUUCAAGGUUCAGUGGAGCAACCACACCGAAGCAGAAGCAACAUGGGAGCGUGAAGACUAUCUCCGAUCUGAAUUUCCGUACCUUUUUAGCACCUAGCUUAGGAAUCUCGGGGACGAGAUUCUUGUAAGGGGGAUAGGUCUGUCCCACCCUGUUUUCACUUCACUUUUACUGUAAUUCAAAAAUCUGAGUUUAUGAAAACUUCUCCAAAAUCAAUGAUGUGAGUGUCAUUGUUGUCAUUGUAUGCUUGGUUGUGUAUUAGCAAAACCAUAUUUUUCAUAACUUAAAUAUUCUCAAAAUCUCUUUUCCUAUUUCUGAUUAUUUCAAAUCCUGCCUUGGGUUGCACUACAAGUCCUUGAUGGCAACAGAGUGCUCUUACCCAAAGUUGGUGAUUUGGUUCUAAGACUAUUUUUACUCUCAAAAACCAUAAAAUNNNNNNNNNNNNNNNNNNNNNNNNNNNNNNNNNNNNNNNNNNNNAUCUGAGAAAAUUUGGAGAUACUCAGAGGGCAUAUAUUUUCCAUACAUAAAAUUUUCAACCCACAUUUAUAUUAUAAAUAAUUAAGUAAAACCCUGAAAACCUAUUAUGCCUGUUUUGACCUUUUGAAAUAUUUCCGAAGGAAAUAUUCUCAAUAAACUCCUAAGAAAUUCCAGUGACCUCCCUAAGCCAUAUUUGGUGCCCAUAUAAAGUUUCACCUUGAUGCAAGGUGGUUAGGGUCACCAAAUAAUUCCAAAACCCUUUCUGCCUAGUAUGAAGUUAGAGCAACUCUACAUAGCAAAGUUUAUCCAAUGGAGCAGAAACUUUGCAGGAAUNNNNNNNNNNNNNNNNNNNNNNNNNNNNNNNNNNNNNNNNNNNNNNNAGGAAUGCCUAAUACCUCAAAUGAGGACUCUUUGCCAAAAAUGGGAUUUGUGGGAAUGGAUUUGCCCACACUCCCUUUGGAAGGGACAGGCCUGGCCAUUUAGGAGUAAUUUCAAGUUUACAUUGCUAAACUUGUCCAAUGGAGCCCAAACUUGGUGUAGCCUCAUGUUUUUGCACCAAACCUAGUCCUGUUAAGUUUCAUAGCCAGUGGUGGAGUGUAACCACCCCAAACCACUGUCGAGCACCUUCUGACAGUAUGGCAAAACCCCUCUUAACCCCAGCUACACCCAUUCCCUUUCUCCCAAACUCCUAGAUUAGGUGGCCAGCAUCAAUGCCCAACUCCAGUCAAGUGGCUAUUUUCUGGUUCUAAGUAGAAAAGCCAAAAAACCCAAUCUAAGCUUCAGCCCACGGCUGACAGCAUCUGUUUUCCACCCCUCUUUUGACUAGCAGAUGUUCCCACGGGAUUCAAACGGCUAGGCAUCUCCAAGCAAGGGCUCAGGACACGCCAGACGUGUCCAAGGUGCCCAGAGCGCGCCAGCAUGCCGUGGCAUGCCAAAGCUGCGCUCUGGGCGCGCUACAGGGAGCAACCGAGGUGGGGGCGACCUCCCACGGCCAAUUCCAGCCUCCCCGCGGUGUCCCUCCACUCCCCGGCAGCUCCACUACAUCAGGCAGCCCCCAGGGCCCCUCCUUUCCCGCGCUGAGAGACGGUGCGACGCGUGCCCGCGCGCACCAGGUUCGGCCAGAGGAGCGUGGCCAUGCAGGCACGCCACUCCUCACUCCCCCCUCUCUUGCAGUGAGCUCGGAGGUCCAAAACCACGUCCUGAGACCGUGGUUUCGACCCCAACCUCUCUCUGCACCCCCCCUGCACGCCACGGUGAAACCAUCGGAGCUUCCCGCUCGGUGCACCGUCGCGGGCCUAUAUAUAGGCCACCCCUCGCUCCAGCACCCCUCACUCCACUCCACCUAGACCCCAAUCAUCUCCCUAGCCACCCCAUCGAGCAAGAAGAGCCCCGGUGCUCCAGAUCGAUCGAGGCCUCUCCGCCUUGGAGCUCCUGUCGAUCUCCGGCUACACGGCGGUUCUCGCGUCCCUCUGCCCUCCUACGCACUC
RNAcentral lists this long non-coding RNA (11003 nucleotides) under Hordeum vulgare. RNAcentral's name for it is "long non-coding RNA (HVUL_LNC012070)". The record is from RNAcentral. Lineage: Eukaryota; Viridiplantae; Streptophyta; Magnoliopsida; Poales; Poaceae.